GACUGAUCUCAUGAAAUGGCGUAUGUAUGACACGCCAAUUCACAUUUCCAUUUUUGGCGUGCUAUCAACACGCAUAAUCGCUUUUCAGCGUGUUUAUGAACACAGUUGACUUAACGUUACAUUACUGUAUUUAUAAAUAAAUGACCUACCCCAACCCCGUCCCUAAACCUACCCGUCACUGGGUUAAUACCAUUUAUGAGUCUUCCCUUACCAUCCUAGGGAAAAAAAUAUCGCUCCCCAGAUGUAGAUCUACAUUUUGCUUCGUUUCGCUCGGACAUUUAACGGCGUUGUACAUACACGCGGAAUCACUCAGACAUUUAACGGCGUAGACAUACACGCAUACACGCGGAUAGCUCAAAAUGCGUAUAGAUAACACGCCACUUGACUUGAAAUUGGCGUGUAUGUUUACGCAAAAGUCAUGAUGCCAUGUUGGAA
This is a long non-coding RNA of Rhinichthys klamathensis goyatoka, 435 nucleotides long. RefSeq lists it as uncharacterized. NCBI's taxonomy places the organism in Eukaryota, Metazoa, Chordata, Actinopteri, Cypriniformes, Leuciscidae. The record is from RefSeq and is a predicted model, not a curated record. The transcript has 2 exons.